This 470-nucleotide ribosomal RNA is filed under the name uncultured bacterium. Its description in RNAcentral is "partial 16S ribosomal RNA". It matches the Rfam family "Bacterial small subunit ribosomal RNA", at positions 355 to 817 of the family's 1533-position model. The record is from RNAcentral.
UAGGGAAUCUUCCACAAUGGACGAAAGUCUGAUGGAGCAACGCCGCGUGAGUGAUGAAGGGUUUCGGCUCGUAAAACUCUGUUGUUGGAGAAGAACGGGUGUCAGAGUAACUGUUGACAUCGUGACGGUAUCCAACCAGAAAGCCACGGCUAACUACGUGCCAGCAGCCGCGGUAAUACGUAGGUGGCAAGCGUUGUCCGGAUUUAUUGGGCGUAAAGCGAGCGCAGGCGGUUUUUUAGGUCUGAUGUGAAAGCCUUCGGCUUAACCGGAGAAGUGCAUCGGAAACCGGGAGACUUGAGUGCAGAAGAGGACAGUGGAACUCCAUGUGUAGCGGUGAAAUGCGUAGAUAUAUGGAAGAACACCAGUGGCGAAGGCGGCUGUCUGGUCUGCAACUGACGCUGAGGCUCGAAAGCAUGGGUAGCGAACAGGAUUAGAUACCCUGGUAGUCCAUGCCGUAAACGAUGAGUGCU